GACGAACGCUGGCGGCGUGCUUAACACAUGCAAGUCGAACGGAAAGGCCCUGCUUUUGUGGGGUGCUCGAGUGGCGAACGGGUGAGUAACACGUGAGUAACCUGCCCUUGACUUUGGGAUAACUUCAGGAAACUGGGGCUAAUACCGGAUAGGAGCUCCUGCUGCAUGGUGGGGGUUGGAACGUUUCGGCGGUUGGGGAUGGACUCGCGGCUUAUCAGCUUGUUGGUGGGGUAGUGGCUUACCAAGGCUUUGAAGGGUAGCCGGCAUGAGAGGGUGACCGGCCACAAUGGGACUGAGAUACGGCCCAGACUGCUACGGGAGGCAGAAGGGGGGAAUAUUGCACAAUGGGAGGAAGCCUGAGGCAGCAACGCCGCGUGCGGGAUGACGGCCUUCGGGUUGUAAACCGCUUUCGCCUGUGACGAAGCGUGAGUGACGGUAAUGGGUAAAGAAGCACCGGCUAACUACGUG
RNAcentral lists this ribosomal RNA (468 nucleotides) under uncultured bacterium. Its description in RNAcentral is "partial 16S ribosomal RNA". It matches the Rfam family "Bacterial small subunit ribosomal RNA", at positions 28 to 507 of the family's 1533-position model. The record is from RNAcentral.